GCUCGGGACCCGCACCACCUCCUCCUCCGUACACGCCACCUCCGUCUGGCCGGCGGAUCAAUCCCGGUCAAGGAUCUGGUGGUAGUAGUAAGAGCCCAUCUAAUGACAGUGGAGGCGGGAAAAAAUCUGGCAUAGGCGGUGGUGGCGUAGCCGGCAUUAUCAUUUCUCUUCUGGUCAUUGGUGCAAUUGUUGCAUUCUUCUUGGUAAAGAGGAAAAAACGGAAUUCUUCGACCGAGAGAACUCAAGAUCCUGACCAAACUUUCACGCCACUUGCCUCAAAUGAAGUCAAAGUUGACAAACAUGAGACGAAGCCCAUUCAAGCACCUUCAACAAUGAACACAACCAUGUUGCAUACACCAACUGUUAUUAACCUUAAGCCUCCACCCAGUGACCGACACAAAUCAUACGACGAAGAUGACGUCACUAACAAGCCUCUAGUGGUGAAGAAAUCUAAUAAAGAUCCCAUAAGAGCCACCGUUUAUUCAGUAGCUGACCUGCAGAUUGCUACAAAUAGUUUCAG
This 520-nucleotide unclassified non-coding RNA is filed under the name Hevea brasiliensis (rubber tree). Lineage: Eukaryota; Viridiplantae; Streptophyta; Magnoliopsida; Malpighiales; Euphorbiaceae. The record is from RNAcentral.